This 107-nucleotide small nuclear RNA is filed under the name Chinchilla lanigera (long-tailed chinchilla). The record is from RNAcentral. Lineage: Eukaryota; Metazoa; Chordata; Mammalia; Rodentia; Chinchillidae.
GUGCUCAUCUUGGCAGUAUAUAUAUUAAAAUGAAAACACCACAGAGAAUAUUGGCAUGGCCCUACUGCAAAGAUAAUAUGAAAACUUGUGAAAUGUUCCAUAUUUGC